UACGUAGGGUGCAAGCGUUGUUCGGAAUUACUGGGCGUAAAGGGCUCGUAGGCGGCCAACUAAGUCAGACGUGAAAUCCCUCGGCUUAACCGGGGAACUGCGUCUGAUACUGGAUGGCUAGAGGUUGGGAGAGGGAUGCGGAAUUCCAGGUGUAGCGGUGAAAUGCGUAGAUAUCUGGAGGAACACCGGUGGCGAAGGCGGCAUCCUGGACCAAUUCUGACGCUGAUGAGCGAAAGCCAGGGGAGCAAACGGG
Molecule: ribosomal RNA, 253 nt
Filed under: uncultured bacterium
Lineage: Bacteria
Description: partial 16S ribosomal RNA
Rfam family: Bacterial small subunit ribosomal RNA
Source: RNAcentral